CUGAAUAUGGGGGGACCAUCCUCCAAGGCUAAAUACUCCUGACUGACCGAUAGUGAACCAGUACCGUGAGGGAAAGGCGAAAAGAACCCCGGCGAGGGGAGUGAAAAAGAACCUGAAACCGUGUACGUACAAGCAGUGGGAGCACCUUCGGGUGUGACUGCGUACCUUUUGUAUAAUGGGUCAGCGACUUAUAUUCUGUAGCAAGGUUAACCGUAUAGGGGAGCCGCAGGGAAACCGAGUCUUAACUGGGCGUUAAGUUGCAGGGUAUAGACCCGAAACCCGGUGAUCUAGCCAUGGGCAGGUUGAAGGUUGGGUAACACUAACUGGAGGACCGAACCGACUAAUGUUGAAAAAUUAGCGGAUGACUUGUGGCUGGGGGUGAAAGGCCAAUCAAACCGGGAGAUAGCUGGUUCUCCCCGAAAGCU
RNAcentral lists this ribosomal RNA (425 nucleotides) under Klebsiella pneumoniae. RNAcentral describes it as "partial 23S ribosomal RNA". It matches the Rfam family "Bacterial large subunit ribosomal RNA", at positions 438 to 867 of the family's 2925-position model. The record is from RNAcentral. Lineage: Bacteria; Pseudomonadati; Pseudomonadota; Gammaproteobacteria; Enterobacterales; Enterobacteriaceae.